GGGGAAUAUUGCACAAUGGGCGAAAGCCUGAUCCAGCAAUGCCGCGUGUGUGAAGAAGGUCUUCGGAUUGUAAAGCACUUUCGACGGGGACGAUGAUGACGGUACCCGUAGAAGAAGCCCCGGCUAACUUCGUGCCAGCAGCCGCGGUAAUACGAAGGGGGCUAGCGUUGCUCGGAAUGACUGGGCGUAAAGGGCGUGUAGGCGGUUUACACAGUCAGAUGUGAAAUCCCCGGGCUUAACCUGGGAGCUGCAUUUGAUACGUGGAGACUAGAGUGUGAGAGAGGGUUGUGGAAUUCCCAGUGUAGAGGUGAAAUUCGUAGAUAUUGGGAAGAACACCGGUGGCGAAGGCGGCAACCUGGCUCAUUACUGACGCUGAGGCGCGAAAGCGUGGGGAGCAAAC
RNAcentral lists this ribosomal RNA (400 nucleotides) under uncultured bacterium. RNAcentral's name for it is "bacterial SSU rRNA". It matches the Rfam family "Bacterial small subunit ribosomal RNA", at positions 356 to 773 of the family's 1533-position model. The record is from RNAcentral.